This 497-nucleotide ribosomal RNA is filed under the name uncultured bacterium. Its description in RNAcentral is "partial 16S ribosomal RNA". It matches the Rfam family "Bacterial small subunit ribosomal RNA", at positions 28 to 507 of the family's 1533-position model. The record is from RNAcentral.
GACGAACGCUGGCGGCGUGCCUAAUACAUGCAAGUUGAGCGCUGAAGGUUGGUACUUGUACCAACUGGAUGAGCAGCGAACGGGUGAGUAACGCGUGGGGAAUCUGCCUUUGAGCGGGGGACAACAUUUGGAAACGAAUGCUAAUACCGCAUAAAAACUUUAAACACAAGUUUUAAGUUUGAAAGAUGCAAUUGCAUCACUCAAAGAUGAUCCCGCGUUGUAUUAGCUAGUUGGUGAGGUAAAGGCUCACCAAGGGGAUGAUACAUAGCCGACCUGAGAGGGUGAUCGGCCACAUUGGGACUGAGACACGGCCCAAACUCCUACGGGAGGCAGCAGUAGGGAAUCGUCGGCAAUGGACGAAAGUCUGACCGAGCAACGCCGCGUGAGUGAAGAAGGUUUUCGGAUCGUAAAACUCUGUUGGUAGAGAAGAACGUUGGUGAGAGUGGAAAGCUCAUCAAGUGACGGUAACUACCCAGAAAGGGACGGCUAACUACGUG